GAUGAACGCUGGCGGCGUGCUUAACACAUGCAAGUCGAACGGAAAGGCCACAGCUUGCUGUGGUACUCGAGUGGCGAACGGGUGAGUAACACGUGGGUGAUCUGCCCUGUACUUCGGGAUAAGCUUGGGAAACUGGGUCUAAUACCGGAUAGGAAUCACAUGUGGGUGUGUGGUUGGAAAGCUUUUGCGGUAUGGGAUGAGCUCGCGGCCUAUCAGCUUGUUGGUGGGGUAAUGGCCUACCAAGGCGUCGACGGGUAGCCGGCCUGAGAGGGUGUACGGCCACAUUGGGACUGAGAUACGGCCCAGACUCCUACGGGAGGCAGCAGUGGGGAAUAUUGCACAAUGGGCGCAAGCCUGAUGCAGCGACGCCGCGUGGGGGAUGACGGCCUUCGGGUUGUAAACCCCUUUCGUCAGGGACGAAGCGAAAGUGACGGUACCUGGAGAAGAAGCACCGGCUAACUACGUG
Molecule: ribosomal RNA, 466 nt
Filed under: uncultured bacterium
Lineage: Bacteria
Description: partial 16S ribosomal RNA
Rfam family: Bacterial small subunit ribosomal RNA
Source: RNAcentral